AUGAUUUUACAAGACUUCAUCCUUGGGCCAAAUGUCCCACUUCUCCUUUCUUCUUCCCUACACUUCAGCUACAGUCUAACCAGCCUAAAGGACAUCACAUAUGUGCCCACUUCAGCCAUUAAAGUCUGCUUUGGGACACCGUGUCAGAUUGGACAAUCUGAAGAAGAAGGAAUUGAAGCACACACUUUUGCCUGUCUGGAAGACAAGUCUCCCAGAAUAUACCUUUUCCUACACUCAUAUGACACAAGUCCAGAAAAGGACCUCAAGAGUGUGAAAAAACAAAGUUAAGCUUGAAUAUGAAUGUAACGAAAGCAGUGACACUGAAGAAAGUUUCUUCCAGGCAUCUGCAAAGACUUAUGGAUCAGACAAUGAUGUUAUCGGAGGUAUGAAGUCAGAAAUACUUUACCAGUUUGAAAUGUGCAUGAAAGAUAAGACAUGGUUAGCACUGCUGAUGAUUUUUAGAUUUUUUUCAUAUGGGAAUAAUAUGUGUAUAAUAGCAUCUGAAACAUUUGGAUACGUUGAUCUGCAUUAGUGAAUUAAUAGAUACUUCCAUUAUGAAAACUGCUAGAGGCAGAAGCAGAGGCUCUUAUACUAACAGAUGAUGUACUUUAAAGAGCCCAAGAGCAAUGGAUAACUGAUUUAGAGGAUAUCCUUAGACUGAUUAUUAUGACAAAAAUAUGUUUGAGGCAGCUCCAAUAGACGAUAUACUGAUGAUCUCUGGGCUGGGUGACACAAAGGCGAUGUUAAUGAGCUAAAGCAGCAAUAACAACCUCACUUCACACAAUGAGCCACAGGGUAUAUUUGAAAAAUUUCCAAGCAUUAGUGCUUGGUUUAUGUGCAGGCACACACAGACCAAGAAGGGCAGAGGCAGCCACUGGCUCUCCUCACCCUCCCUGUGGCUGGCUGAAGAGCACACAACUCUGCCAGCAGAUUUUGAAACUGCUCAAGGUGGUCAAGAGUGCUACGCCUUUUGUUUUAUUAAGCUGCUAAAACACACUUCUGGAGUCAAACAUUUCGUUUCAUCUUCACAGGCAAGCAGAAAGUGCAAAGAUGUAACCCCUGUGAAAAGCCUGUUUUCCUUCCUGAAACCUCACACCAGGGUGAAAUAAAGCAGCUGAGUGAACAGAUGGAAAAAAGUAGGAAUACUACUGGUGAUAAAAGUGCCAGUAUACAAAAUUCCUUUCAAAAGAGGAUUAUAAGAAACAGUGCCACUCCAGUGAGAUAACUGAACACCCUGGGCUGGGUGUUUCUGAGCCAAAGGAGGCUCUCUGCGCGAAAUCAAAGAAGCUUAAGACCCACUUGUGUCUGUAUGAGUAUGGUAGGUGUUGACCACACAGGCUCUGUUAUGUGUGGAAGGUGAUUCCCAUCACAUAACAGAGAUACCUCUGGGAGAAGCAACACAGCUCACAGCCUUGUUUAACCUAGUGACUAUAUAUAUGAAUGUGCAGAAUAGACCAAGAUUUUCCCCAAGGUGUGGGAAAAAUUCAAACUUAAAAAUUAGGGGACUUCUACAGCAUAUGCUGAGGUGUCUCCCUUCUUGGCUUAACCAUAUUGAUUCCUAGCAUCCUAAUCCUGAUUAAGAUACU
This is a long non-coding RNA of Taeniopygia guttata (zebra finch), 1586 nucleotides long. The record is from Ensembl. Lineage: Eukaryota; Metazoa; Chordata; Aves; Passeriformes; Estrildidae.